RNAcentral lists this ribosomal RNA (1510 nucleotides) under Escherichia coli. Its description in RNAcentral is "partial 23S ribosomal RNA". It matches the Rfam family "Bacterial large subunit ribosomal RNA", at positions 402 to 1897 of the family's 2925-position model. The record is from RNAcentral. Lineage: Bacteria; Pseudomonadati; Pseudomonadota; Gammaproteobacteria; Enterobacterales; Enterobacteriaceae.
AGCUCGAUGAGUAGGGCGGGACACGUGGUAUCCUGUCUGAAUAUGGGGGGACCAUCCUCCAAGGCUAAAUACUCCUGACUGACCGAUAGUGAACCAGUACCGUGAGGGAAAGGCGAAAAGAACCCCGGCGAGGGGAGUGAAAAAGAACCUGAAACCGUGUACGUACAAGCAGUGGGAGCACGCUUAGGCGUGUGACUGCGUACCUUUUGUAUAAUGGGUCAGCGACUUAUAUUCUGUAGCAAGGUUAACCGAAUAGGGGAGCCGAAGGGAAACCGAGUCUUAACUGGGCGUUAAGUUGCAGGGUAUAGACCCGAAACCCGGUGAUCUAGCCAUGGGCAGGUUGAAGGUUGGGUAACACUAACUGGAGGACCGAACCGACUAAUGUUGAAAAAUUAGCGGAUGACUUGUGGCUGGGGGUGAAAGGCCAAUCAAACCGGGAGAUAGCUGGUUCUCCCCGAAAGCUAUUUAGGUAGCGCCUCGUGAAUUCAUCUCCGGGGGUAGAGCACUGUUUCGGCAAGGGGGUCAUCCCGACUUACCAACCCGAUGCAAACUGCGAAUACCGGAGAAUGUUAUCACGGGAGACACACGGCGGGUGCUAACGUCCGUCGUGAAGAGGGAAACAACCCAGACCGCCAGCUAAGGUCCCAAAGUCAUGGUUAAGUGGGAAACGAUGUGGGAAGGCCCAGACAGCCAGGAUGUUGGCUUAGAAGCAGCCAUCAUUUAAAGAAAGCGUAAUAGCUCACUGGUCGAGUCGGCCUGCGCGGAAGAUGUAACGGGGCUAAACCAUGCACCGAAGCUGCGGCAGCGACGCUGAUGCGUUGUUGGGUAGGGGAGCGUUCUGUAAGCCUGUGAAGGUGUGCUGUGAGGCAUGCUGGAGGUAUCAGAAGUGCGAAUGCUGACAUAAGUAACGAUAAAGCGGGUGAAAAGCCCGCUCGCCGGAAGACCAAGGGUUCCUGUCCAACGUUAAUCGGGGCAGGGUGAGUCGACCCCUAAGGCGAGGCCGAAAGGCGUAGUCGAUGGGAAACAGGUUAAUAUUCCUGUACUUGGUGUUACUGCGAAGGGGGGACGGAGAAGGCUAUGUUGGCCGGGCGACGGUUGUCCCGGUUUAAGCGUGUAGGCUGGUUUUCCAGGCAAAUCCGGAAAAUCAAGGCUGAGGCGUGAUGACGAGGCACUACGGUGCUGAAGCAACAAAUGCCCUGCUUCCAGGAAAAGCCUCUAAGCAUCAGGUAACAUCAAAUCGUACCCCAAACCGACACAGGUGGUCAGGUAGAGAAUACCAAGGCGCUUGAGAGAACUCGGGUGAAGGAACUAGGCAAAAUGGUGCCGUAACUUCGGGAGAAGGCACGCUGAUAUGUAGGUGAAGUCCCUCGCGGAUGGAGCUGAAAUCAGUCGAAGAUACCAGCUGGCUGCAACUGUUUAUUAAAAACACAGCACUGUGCAAACACGAAAGUGGACGUAUACGGUGUGACGCCUGCCCGGUGCCGGAAGGUUAAUUGAUGGGGUCAGCGCA